This 358-nucleotide ribosomal RNA is filed under the name uncultured soil bacterium. RNAcentral describes it as "bacterial SSU rRNA". It matches the Rfam family "Bacterial small subunit ribosomal RNA", at positions 26 to 380 of the family's 1533-position model. The record is from RNAcentral.
AGAUUGAACGCUGGCGGCAGGCCUAACACAUGCAAGUCGAGCGGUAGAGAGGUGCUUGCACCUCUUGAGAGCGGCGGACGGGUGAGUAAUGCCUAGGAAUCUGCCUAGUGGUGGGGGAUAACGUUCGGAAACGGACGCUAAUACCGCAUACGUCCUACGGGAGAAAGCGGGGGACCUUCGGGCCUCGCGCCAUUAGAUGAGCCUAGGUCGGAUUAGCUAGUUGGUGAGGUAAUGGCUCACCAAGGCGAACGAUCCGUAACUGGUCUGAGAGGAUGAUCAGUCACACUGGAACUGAGACACGGUCCAGACCUCCGUACGGGAGCAGCAGGUGGGAAUUAGUGGACAAGUCGGGACGAAA